This 253-nucleotide ribosomal RNA is filed under the name uncultured bacterium. RNAcentral's name for it is "partial 16S ribosomal RNA". It matches the Rfam family "Bacterial small subunit ribosomal RNA", at positions 524 to 776 of the family's 1533-position model. The record is from RNAcentral.
UACGUAGGGCGCAAGCGUUGUCCGGAAUUAUUGGGCGUAAAGAGCUCGUAGGCGGCUUGUCACGUCGGGUGUGAAAGCCCGGGGCUUAACCCUGGGUCUGCAUUCGAUACGGGCUAGCUAGAGUGUGGUAGGGGAGAUCGGAAUUCCUGGUGUAGCGGUGAAAUGCGCAGAUAUCAGGAGGAACACCGGUGGCGAAGGCGGAUCUCUGGGCCAUUACUGACGCUGAGGAGCGAAAGCGUGGGGAGCGAACAGG